This is a long non-coding RNA of Erinaceus europaeus (western European hedgehog), 3049 nucleotides long. RefSeq lists it as uncharacterized. The record is from RefSeq and is a predicted model, not a curated record. Lineage: Eukaryota; Metazoa; Chordata; Mammalia; Eulipotyphla; Erinaceidae. The transcript is spliced from 5 exons.
AGGAGCCCUCAGAGGGCCUGACCAGCACCUGCCAUGCUCUGAGCCUCACACAGAGGUGUGGGGGUGGGGGUGGGGGGGCUGUCAGCCCUCUGUCUGGGGGGGGGGGCGAUAAGGGCUAGAGGAGGUCCAGAGGGCAGUGGGUCAUUUGCACCCCGAAUCACUGAGUAGUCUGGGUGGAUGCCUCCUCUGCUUUGGGCUGUCCCACAGCUCAGGGCCACGUGAACACUGCAGGGUUGAGUGAGGCCGCCACAAGCCGCUGCUUCCUCUCCUGCCUGAGGUCUUCCUGGCGGCACACCCACUAAGGAAGUCGGCAGGCCAAGGCGGUGGCUAGGCUACUCUCCAGCUCCGACCUCCUGCCCACGGCCCCCACAGUUGCUACUGUCUUUCUUCUGCCUGUGGCCCAGCCCCCCAGAGAGACCACCGGGGCAGCCGGCUGCUCGAGGUGGUAGGCAGGGGCAGACUUGUCUCCAGGCCUCCGGGCUGAGCAACAGUGGGUGAGGGGGGCACGGCCCUGCCCAGGCCUGCAGGAGCCCACAUUUGCCUUCUUCCUGCAGAGACUGCCAGGCCCCCCUUACGCCCAUUUCCAGGCCUCAGCUGGUGGCUGGCCUUGGCCUGCAUGCAUCUGCAGACCCCUUCCCCUCGAAGUGCAUUUGGGCUCAGGCAGCAGUUACGUCACCACGGGGAAGAAGCCAGACAGCAACUGGAGAAGGCCGUGAAGUGGGAGAAAGAGGCCCAACACACACGAGAACGCCACCCUCCAUGGGGCAUGCCAGCCACCGACAUGCAGGAAUCCUGCCUUUUCACACAGGAACCCUGAUGGGCAUGUCCACAGUCACAGGAAGUAGGUCAGGGCCACGUGGGGCUGGAUGCAUGUAGGGAGGAUAGCUAAAGGCAGGGGCUUUCUUUGGGGGUGAUGAGAAGGUUCCAGAACUGGCCAUGGUGGCUGUGGUGGCGGCCGUGUUUGCAGAGCUCAAGCCUUGCUGGUAUGAGGCUCCAGGCCCAAUCCUUGCCACCGCAUGCACCGGAGUGGAGUCCUGGUCUUUCACAGACUAAAGCUUGGUGAUGGCUGCAUAUGCUGUGACCCAAUGGAUAAUGCCCAAAGCAGGCCCACUGCCAUCCCUGUGAAGUGCCCUGGGGCAACUGGCUGUGUCACGGCCCUGGGACACAGCCUCCAGAGCUGCUGAGCACCGCGUGGCUAGAUGGUCCAGACCCCCCCCCUGCCCCCCCCCCCCCCCCCGCUUGGGCUUCUGGAAGGCCAGGGUGGUGGAGCAGAGGCUUGUGGGCAUGUCCCCAUCUGUGCAGGCGGUGACACAGGGCCAGCAGGCUGCUGCAGUUGGGGGGAAGAGGCUCGGAAGCACUUGGGAGGACGCAGUGAGCUUCACCUCAGGACCCUGGAAGGCGGCGAAGGAUGAGGGGGUUCGCCGCAGCUGGAUGCCAAGGGCCAGUCUCCUGCCUCCCUCUGGUGUCCCCGCCAGGUGUCCCCCUGCGGUGCAGGGUCACACUGGCCCUCCCCUUGCCUGGGGUGGGUUCUGGAAUCCUGGCCCCCAACCCAUUUCCCUGCUCAGCCUGCUCCCCAGGCGCUGACUAAACAUCCUGCCAUCUGCUUCCCAUUAGCUGGGCGGGGGUGGGGGCGGGGUGCUGGAGGCCCACUCCCAGGUUCCUCGGGCACAGCGGCCAGGAGGAGGGAGGGACCCUGUUCCUAUCCACCUAGAAGAAGGGGUGAGGCCUGGGGUUCUCUAAGCCCCCCACCUCCAGUGGAGUCCUGUCCAUGCUGCCCUUCCACUGCUGGGGAUGCUGGGGCCACUCGGUCACCUAUUGCCUCCACUGUCACGGCUCCUGGCCACCGUGGGCGCGCUGAAGGACCCGGGGGGGGGGGCAGAGGCAGAGGGAGUCCUUAGCCCACCCCCAGCCCCCACCCCCAGCUCACUCAUGGACUCGGGUUGAGACGGCAGGCCCAGAGCCAACACUAACCCAAGUGCUGUCUGGAGUGCAGGGUGGGAACCGUGUCGGUGCGUUCCAGGAACCAGGAUGCAGCCUGGGGGUGCUGGAAAGAGUUUGGGCUCCCAGCUCUGCCCUGGAUGAAAUGGUCGUGUGAUCUCAGGAGCUGGCCUCCUUGAGCAGGGCCUCCAACUCCCCACCUUGAUGUGGUGGAUGUGGGAUGCUUCGAAAGUUCUAGAACCUCUAGAGCUGGAAGGGGCCAGGAGAAGCUGUAUCCGACGACCAAGGCUGCUUCCAGCUGCACUGUCCCCCGAUCCCGAGAGCCAGAAACAGAUUCCUGCUCCUUCCCCGCCCUUCCCCGCACAUGCCACACCCUCAUGAGCAGGGACUCAGAUGGGCAGGGUGAGCCCCACAGCCCUGCCCAGUCCCCUUCACUUUGGCCAGUGGGGCGGCUCUGCCCUCACAAGGGUAGAUGGGACCCCAGACGCAGGAAUGUCCCGAGCCCCCGCCGCAGGCCGGGCCCUGGGUCACGAACCAUGCAGGGGGCAGUGAGAACCACAGAGGCGACUCUCCUUACUCUGGGGCUGGCCAUCUAUUGGGGAGCACGGGAACCCCCAGCAGAAGGCAAGGGGCGGAGCACGGUGAGUGGAGGCGGGAAGCUCACAGGGACUUUGAGGGACAUGAGGAGGACAGAGUCCUGCAGAGAGGCCCUCCCCAGAGGCCUCAAGGUGCCAGAGAGAGAUGGCCUGAACAUCACGGUCAGGUGACAUCCAAGAGGCAGUGCCAACAUAUGGGUAUGGAACGGGACUCCUGGCAUCUCGUCAUUUUGCAGACUGCUGGUAAAUCACCAAUAACAUGAAGUUAUAAAAAGGAAUAGAGAAAACGGUGCCACAUAGAAGCCUGAGAGCCUGGCUGCCACUUCCGCACUCCUGCCACCUCCAGGGCAGCAGCUCAGCCCCACUGAGUUGUCGAAGACACCUCAGGCCGGGAGCCGAGGAGCUGCCUGCCUGUUCUGGGAUCUUCCACAUGACACACCCACUCCUGGAGUACAGCAGAGGGUCUCUAGGGGCAUGUUCACACGUCAGUAGCGUGUAAAUAAAGGUCCGAAACC